RNAcentral lists this ribosomal RNA (775 nucleotides) under uncultured Neocallimastigales. RNAcentral describes it as "partial large subunit ribosomal RNA". It matches the Rfam family "Eukaryotic large subunit ribosomal RNA", at positions 22 to 616 of the family's 3401-position model. The record is from RNAcentral. Lineage: Eukaryota; Fungi; Neocallimastigomycota; Neocallimastigomycetes; Neocallimastigales.
UAGAUGCGAGAGUAGAGCAUAUCAAUAAGCGGAGGAAAAGAAACUAACAAGGAUUCCCUUAGUAACGGCGAGUGAAGCGGGAAGAGCUCAAAUUUGAAAUCUUCAAGGUUCUACCUUGACGAAUUGUAGUUUAAAGAAGUGUUUUCUGUUAGAUGAGUAGCAAAAGUUCCUUGGAAUGGGACAUCAUAGAGGGUGAGAAUCCCGUAUUUGGUUAUUCAUUCUAGCUUUGUGAUACACUUUCAAAGAGUCGGAUUGUUUGGGAAUGCAGUCCAAAAUGGGUGGUAAAUUUCAUCUAAAGCUAAAUAUUGGCGAGAGACCGAUAGCGAACAAGUACCGUGAGGGAAAGAUGAAAAGAACUUUGAAAAGAGAGUUAAACAGUACGUGAAAUUGUCAAAAGGGAAGCGUUUGACACCAGUGUUGUUUUUCCGAAAAUCAAUUACGAAUGGCUUGAUUUUGUGUUGUAUUGACCUUAUCAGCUUUCUGCACUUUUUUUCGAGUCUUUCUUAAUGCACUUUUCGGUUAACAAGUCAACAUCAAUUUCUUUUGUUGUAAAAGAGUAUUCGGAAGGCGGCUUUCUUUUCGGAGAAAGUGUUUAUAGCCCUAUACUUCUACAAUCAGAGAGAUUGAGGUCUGCAGCGUAGAUCCUUCGGGGUUAGAUACACUUGUGCUAAGUUGUAGCUUUUCAUAGACAACUUGUUGACUACGUUUAGUCAUGCGGCUUACUCGCUUAUGCUAUUUUACCUACGCUUAGGAUGUUGAGCGCAUGUCUCUCUCU